Molecule: ribosomal RNA, 471 nt
Filed under: Salmonella enterica subsp. enterica serovar Senftenberg
Lineage: Bacteria; Pseudomonadati; Pseudomonadota; Gammaproteobacteria; Enterobacterales; Enterobacteriaceae
Also listed under: 3 other names
Description: partial 16S ribosomal RNA
Rfam family: Bacterial small subunit ribosomal RNA
Source: RNAcentral
AAAUUGAAGAGUUUGAUCAUGGCUCAGAUUGAACGCUGGCGGCAGGCCUAACACAUGCAAGUCGAACGGUAACAGGAAGCAGCUUGCUGCUUUGCUGACGAGUGGCGGACGGGUGAGUAAUGUCUGGGAAACUGCCUGAUGGAGGGGGAUAACUACUGGAAACGGUGGCUAAUACCGCAUAACGUCGCAAGACCAAAGAGGGGGACCUUCGGGCCUCUUGCCAUCAGAUGUGCCCAGAUGGGAUUAGCUGGUUGGUGAGGUAACGGCUCACCAAGGCGACGAUCCCUAGCUGGUCUGAGAGGAUGACCAGCCACACUGGAACUGAGACACGGUCCAGACUCCUACGGGAGGCAGCAGUGGGGAAUAUUGCACAAUGGGCGCAAGCCUGAUGCAGCCAUGCCGCGUGUAUGAAGAAGGCCUUCGGGUUGUAAAGUACUUUCAGCGGGGAGGAAGGUGUUGUGGUUAAUAACC